RNAcentral lists this ribosomal RNA (253 nucleotides) under uncultured bacterium. RNAcentral describes it as "partial 16S ribosomal RNA". It matches the Rfam family "Bacterial small subunit ribosomal RNA", at positions 524 to 776 of the family's 1533-position model. The record is from RNAcentral.
UACGUAGGGUCCGAGCGUUGUCCGGAAUUACUGGGCGUAAAGAGCUCGUAGGUGGUUUGUCGCGUUGUUCGUGAAAACUCACAGCUCAACUGUGGGCGUGCGGGCGAUACGGGCAGACUUGAGUACUGCAGGGGAGACUGGAAUUCCUGGUGUAGCGGUGGAAUGCGCAGAUAUCAGGAGGAACACCAAUAGCGAAGGCAGCUCGCUGGGACGUUACUGACACUGAGGCGCGAAAGCGUGGGGAGCGAACAGG